CUCAAACGACUCUCGGCAACGGAUAUCUCGGCUCUUGCAUCGAUGAAGAACGUAGCGAAAUGCGAUACUUGGUGUGAAUUGCAGAAUCCCGUGAACCAUCGAGUCUUUGAACGCAAGUUGCGCCCGAGGCCAUUAGGUCGAGGGCACGUCUGCCUGGGCGUCAC
RNAcentral lists this ribosomal RNA (164 nucleotides) under Aconitum bartlettii. RNAcentral's name for it is "5.8S rRNA". It matches the Rfam family "5.8S ribosomal RNA". From Rfam's summary of the family: 5.8S ribosomal RNA (5.8S rRNA) is a component of the large subunit of the eukaryotic ribosome. Lineage: Eukaryota; Viridiplantae; Streptophyta; Magnoliopsida; Ranunculales; Ranunculaceae. RNAcentral also lists the same sequence under 3 other names. The record is from RNAcentral.